UGAUUGUUCUGUGACUGAGUGGCGGACGGGUGAGUAACGCGUGGAUAACCUGCCUCACACAGGGGGAUAACAGUUGGAAACGACUGCUAAUACCGCAUAAGCGCACAGCACCGCAUGAUACAGUGUGAAAAACUCCGGUGGUAUGAGAUGGACCCGCGUCUGAUUAGCCAGUUGGCAGGGUAACGGCCUACCAAAGCGACGAUCAGUAGCCGACCUGAGAGGUUGACCGGCCACAUUGGGACUGAGAUACGGCCCAGACUCC
RNAcentral lists this ribosomal RNA (262 nucleotides) under uncultured Lachnospiraceae bacterium. RNAcentral describes it as "partial 16S ribosomal RNA". It matches the Rfam family "Bacterial small subunit ribosomal RNA", at positions 76 to 339 of the family's 1533-position model. The record is from RNAcentral. Lineage: Bacteria; Bacillati; Bacillota; Clostridia; Lachnospirales; Lachnospiraceae.